RNAcentral lists this ribosomal RNA (293 nucleotides) under uncultured bacterium. RNAcentral describes it as "partial 16S ribosomal RNA". The record is from RNAcentral.
GGACUACCGGGGUUUCUAAUCCUGUUCGCUCCCCACGCUUUCGCUCCUCAGCGUCAGUACCGGCCCAGAGUGCUGCCUUCGCCAUCGGUGUUCCUCCCGAUAUCUGCGCAUUUCACCGCUACACCGGGAAUUCCACACUCCCCUACCGGACUCUAGCCAUGGCAGUAUCGAAUGGCGGCUCCAGGUUGAGCCUGGAGUUUUCACAUCCGACUUGCCAAGCCGCCUACGAGCUCUUUACGCCCAAUAAUUCCGGACAACGCUCGCCCCCUACGUAUUACCGCGGCUGCUGGCAC